UACGAAGGGGGCGAGCGUUGUUCGGAAUUACUGGGCGUAAAGGGCGCGCAGGCGGCUCUGAAAGUCAGAUGUGAAAGCCCCGGGCUUAACCUGGGAACUGCAUUUGAUACUCUAGAGCUUGAGUACGGGAGAGGAGAGUGGAAUUCCCAGUGUAGAGGUGAAAUUCGUAGAUAUUGGGAAGAACACCGGUGGCGAAGGCGGCUCUCUGGACCGUAACUGACGCUGAGGCGCGAAAGCGUGGGGAGCAAACAGG
Molecule: ribosomal RNA, 253 nt
Filed under: uncultured bacterium
Lineage: Bacteria
Description: partial 16S ribosomal RNA
Rfam family: Bacterial small subunit ribosomal RNA
Source: RNAcentral